RNAcentral lists this long non-coding RNA (290 nucleotides) under Aquilegia coerulea. RNAcentral describes it as "long non-coding RNA (ACOE_LNC000979)". The record is from RNAcentral. Lineage: Eukaryota; Viridiplantae; Streptophyta; Magnoliopsida; Ranunculales; Ranunculaceae.
UGAUUUGAUUUUUAUUGAACGGUUUAGAUGGGAGGGGUAGGUUUUAUAAACCUAACUGCAAAGGUUGGAAAACCAAGGGUUGCUGCAUCGUUGUUUUUAAAGAAAUUUCUGCCAUUUUGCAAAGGUAUUCUUCUGUAACUAUUUUCUCUUCUUAUUUCACAUUGUUGUUCUUGUUGCUCCUAGUAUUUUUGUUGCUGUUUUUCGCUUGAAUUCUCUUGUUUUUGCUUGAAAUAUUUCUUUCUUGUGAAUACUGCAAUAGUUUUAUAAUUUCUUUGAAAUUUGUCUCCUUU